GUUCACUUCAAGCAGCAAGAAGCGUCAGAUUUACCUCGACUGUUUGAACCCAAUUCAAGGAUGUAUACAACCUUGCAAUCUGGUCCUCCUCUCUGGUUCUAUACUCG
Long non-coding RNA from Ipomoea nil (Japanese morning glory), 107 nucleotides. RefSeq lists it as uncharacterized. Lineage: Eukaryota; Viridiplantae; Streptophyta; Magnoliopsida; Solanales; Convolvulaceae. The transcript is spliced from 3 exons. The record is from RefSeq and is a predicted model, not a curated record.